CCUACGGGAGGCUGCAGUAGGGAAUCUUCCACAAUGGGCGAAAGCCUGAUGGAGCAACGCCGCGUGGGUGAAGAAGGUCUUCGGAUCGUAAAACCCUGUUGUUAGAGAAGAAAGUGCGUGAGAGUAACUGUUCACGCUUCGACGGUAUCUAACCAGAAACCCACGGCUAACUACGUGCCAGCAGCCGCGGUAAUACGUAGGUGGCAAGCGUUAUCCGGAUUUAUUGGGCGUAAAGGGAACGCAGGCGGUCUGUUAAGUCUGAUGUGAAAGCCUUGGGCUUAACCGGAGUAGUGCAUUGGAGACUGGGAGACUUGAGUGCAGAAGAGGGGGGUGGAACUCCAUGUGUAGCGGUGAAAUGCGUAGAUAUAUGGAAGAACACCGGUGGCGAAAGCGGCUCUCUGGUCUGUGACUGACGCUGAGGUUCGAAAGCGUGGGUAGCAAACAGGAUUAGAUACCCGAGUAGUC
RNAcentral lists this ribosomal RNA (465 nucleotides) under uncultured bacterium. Its description in RNAcentral is "partial 16S ribosomal RNA". It matches the Rfam family "Bacterial small subunit ribosomal RNA", at positions 338 to 795 of the family's 1533-position model. The record is from RNAcentral.